RNAcentral lists this ribosomal RNA (925 nucleotides) under uncultured fungus. RNAcentral's name for it is "eukaryotic LSU rRNA". The stretch from base 277 to 925 matches the Rfam family "Eukaryotic large subunit ribosomal RNA", at positions 1 to 664 of the family's 3401-position model. Lineage: Eukaryota; Fungi. The record is from RNAcentral.
AUCGAUGAAGAACGCAGCGAAAUGCGAUAAGUAAUGUGAAUUGCAGAAUUCAGUGAAUCAUCGAAUCUUUGAACGCACAUUGCGCCCCUUGGUAUUCCGGGGGGCAUGCCUGUUCGAGCGUCAUUUCAACCCUCAAGCUAUGCUUGGUCUUGGACACUGCCGGUAACGGCUUGUCUUAAAAUUAGUGGCGGUGCCAUUGAGCUCUACGCGUAGUAAUUAUAUUUUCGCUUUUGAGUCUCGGUGGACGCUUGCCAGCAACCCCCAAUUUUCUAUGGUUGACCUCGGAUCAGGUAGGGAUACCCGCUGAACUUAAGCAUAUCAAUAAGCGGAGGAAAAGAAACCAACAGGGAUUACCUCAGUAACGGCGAGUGAAGCGGUAACAGCUCAAAUUUGAAAUCUGGCUCUUUCAGGGUCCGAGUUGUAAUUUGUAGAAGAUGCUUCGGGUGUGGCUCCGGUCUAAGUUCCUUGGAACAGGACGUCAUAGAGGGUGAGAAUCCCGUAUGUGACUGGCUGCCUCCGCCCAUGUGAAGCUCUUUCGACGAGUCGAGUUGUUUGGGAAUGCAGCUCAAAAUGGGUGGUAUAUUUCAUCUAAAGCUAAAUAUUGGCCAGAGACCGAUAGCGCACAAGUAGAGUGAUCGAAAGAUGAAAAGCACUUUGGAAAGAGAGUUAAACAGUACGUGAAAUUGUUGAAAGGGAAGCGCUUGCAAUCAGACUUGCACGCUACCGAUCAUCCGGUGUUCUCACCGGUGCACUCGGUUGCGUUCAGGCCAGCAUCGGUUUGGGUGGUUGGAUAAAGGCCUUGGGAAUGUAGCUUCUUUCGGGGAGUGUUAUAGCCCUCGGUGCAAUGCAGCCUAUCCGGACCGAGGACCGCGCUUCGGCUAGGAUGCUGGCGUAAUGGUUGUAAGCGACCCGUCUUGAAACACGG